CCUACGGGAGGCUGCAGUGGGGAAUAUUGCACAAUGGGGGAAACCCUGAUGCAGCGACGCCGCGUGAGUGAAGAAGUAAUUCGUUAUGUAAAGCUCUAUCAGCCGGGAAGAAAAUGACGGUACCUGAGCAAGAAGCCCCGGCCAACUACGUGCCAGCAGCCGCGGUAAUACGUAGGGGGCAAGCGUUAUCCGGAUUUACUGGGCGUAAAGGGAGCGUAGACGGCAGUGCAAGUCUGGAGUGAAGGGCGGGGGGUCAACCCCCGGACUGCUCUGGAAACUGUACGGCUGGAGAGCAGGAGAGGUAAGUGGAAUUCCUAGUGUAGCGGUGAAAUGCGUAGAUAUUAGGAGGAACACCAGUGGCGAAGGCGGCUUACUGGACUGUAACUGACGUUGAGGCUCGAAAGCGUGGGGAGCAAACAGGAUUAGAUACCCCUGUAGUC
This 440-nucleotide ribosomal RNA is filed under the name uncultured bacterium. RNAcentral's name for it is "partial 16S ribosomal RNA". It matches the Rfam family "Bacterial small subunit ribosomal RNA", at positions 338 to 795 of the family's 1533-position model. The record is from RNAcentral.